This 84-nucleotide transfer RNA is filed under the name Nanobdellota archaeon. RNAcentral's name for it is "tRNA-Leu". It matches the Rfam family "tRNA". From Rfam's summary of the family: Transfer RNA (tRNA) molecules are approximately 80 nucleotides in length. Lineage: Archaea; Nanobdellati; Nanobdellota. The record is from RNAcentral.
GCGGGGAUGCCGGAGUGGUCAAACGGGACAGGCUUAGGACCUGUUAGCUUAGUGCUUACGUGGGUUCAAAUCCUACUCCCCGCA